RNAcentral lists this ribosomal RNA (490 nucleotides) under uncultured bacterium. Its description in RNAcentral is "partial 16S ribosomal RNA". It matches the Rfam family "Bacterial small subunit ribosomal RNA", at positions 30 to 507 of the family's 1533-position model. The record is from RNAcentral.
AUUGAACGCUGGCGGCAGGCCUAACACAUGCAAGUCGAACGGUAACAGAAAGCAGCUUGCUGCUUUGCUGACGAGUGGCGGACGGGUGAGUAAUGUCUGGGAAACUGCCUGAUGGAGGGGGAUAACUACUGGAAACGGUAGCUAAUACCGCAUAACGUCGCAAGACCAAAGAGGGGGACCUUCGGGCCUCUUGCCAUCGGAUGUGCCCAGAUGGGAUUAGCUAGUAGGUGGGGUAACGGCUCACCUAGGCGACGAUCCCUAGCUGGUCUGAGAGGAUGACCAGCCACACUGUAACUGAGACACGGUCCAGACUCCUACGGGAGGCAGCAGUGGGGAAUAUUGCACAAUGGGCGCAAGCCUGAUGCAGCCAUGCCGCGUGUAUGAAGAAGGCCUUCGGGUUGUAAAUUACUUUCAGCGGGGAGGAAGGGAGUAAAGUUAAUACCUUUGCUCAUUGACGUUACCCGCAGAAGAAGCACCGGCUAACUCCGUG